ACUCAGUGCACUGAAAUCCAUGUGUGCCAAUGUGUCCAUGCUCUGAUUAACAAUUGAAAAGGUUUCAUGCAGUCUUUGUCUCGCAAUCAGCACCUCUGGGAUGACGUCAGCAUACAAAAACACGGAUGUGUCUUCAAGGGACAAACCUUGUUUUUCUCGAGCUAUUUUAAAAAGUUUGUUUCUGAUGUGUAGCUCUUUGAAUUCGACGACAAUGUCUUGCGGAACGCCUGGGGAGCUCUCUUUGAAACAUUAAUUCAGAAAGCCGAGGAAGGAGCGAGGCACCCAGUAACACAAGAAGCAUUCGUUUCAAGCAUUUCAAGUAGCUGACAUAAAGGGGGGAAAAGUCCUUCGGUGUUUUGUUGAAUGUCAGAUGGAUACAAGCCUAUGGCUAGGAGAACAACAGGGCCAUCCUGUGCUGAGCGACUCCAGCCUGAGCCGAGUGAAAUCAAUGGGCUUACAUUUAGAACUUUACAGAAAAAUGCUUAUUUACUUAGGAUGUGUAGAGUGAAAAUUCAUGGAGAGGAGUCCUGCCAGAUGAUGUAGUGAUGUAGUG
Molecule: long non-coding RNA, 553 nt
Organism: Gekko japonicus
Lineage: Eukaryota; Metazoa; Chordata; Lepidosauria; Squamata; Gekkonidae
Exons: 3
Source: RefSeq, a predicted model, not a curated record